CCUACGGGUGGCUGCAGUGGGGAAUAUUGCGCAAUGGGCGAAAGCCUGACGCAGCGACGCCGCGUGAGGGAUGAAGGUCUUCGGAUCGUAAACCUCUGUCAGCAGGGAAGAAAGGUCACUGUGCUAAUCAGCAGUGAAUUGACGGUACCUGAAAGGGAAGCACCGGCUAACUCCGUGCCAGCAGCCGCGGUAAUACGGAGGGGGCGAGCGUUAAUCGGAAUUACUGGGCGUAAAGCGCUCGUAGGCGGUAUGUCAAGUCAAGGGUGAAAUCCCCGCGCUCAACGUGGGAACUGCCUUUGAAACUGGCAGACUGGAGUGUGUGAGAGGAUAGUGGAAUUCCAGGUGUAGGAGUGAAAUCCGUAGAUAUCUGGAGGAACAUCAGUGGCGAAGGCGACUAUCUGGCACCUCACUGACGCUGAGGAGCGAAAGCGUGGGUAGCAAACAGGAUUAGAUACCCCGGUAGUC
This 465-nucleotide ribosomal RNA is filed under the name uncultured bacterium. Its description in RNAcentral is "partial 16S ribosomal RNA". It matches the Rfam family "Bacterial small subunit ribosomal RNA", at positions 338 to 795 of the family's 1533-position model. The record is from RNAcentral.